Molecule: ribosomal RNA, 582 nt
Filed under: Stenotrophomonas sp. HRTP002
Lineage: Bacteria; Pseudomonadati; Pseudomonadota; Gammaproteobacteria; Lysobacterales; Lysobacteraceae
Also listed under: 1 other name
Description: bacterial SSU rRNA
Rfam family: Bacterial small subunit ribosomal RNA
Source: RNAcentral
ACGGGUGAGGAAUACAUCGGAAUCUACCUUUUCGUGGGGGAUAACGUAGGGAAACUUACGCUAAUACCGCAUACGACCUUCGGGUGAAAGCAGGGGACCUUCGGGCCUUGCGCGGAUAGAUGAGCCGAUGUCGGAUUAGCUAGUUGGCGGGGUAAAGGCCCACCAAGGCGACGAUCCGUAGCUGGUCUGAGAGGAUGAUCAGCCACACUGGAACUGAGACACGGUCCAGACUCCUACGGGAGGCAGCAGUGGGGAAUAUUGGACAAUGGGCGCAAGCCUGAUCCAGCCAUACCGCGUGGGUGAAGAAGGCCUUCGGGUUGUAAAGCCCUUUUGUUGGGAAAGAAAAGCAAUCGAUUAAUACCCGGUUGUUCUGACGGUACCCAAAGAAUAAGCACCGGCUAACUUCGUGCCAGCAGCCGCGGUAAUACGAAGGGUGCAAGCGUUACUCGGAAUUACUGGGCGUAAAGCGUGCGUAGGUGGUUGUUUAAGUCUGUUGUGAAAGCCCUGGGCUCAACCUGGGAAUUGCAGUGGAUACUGGGCAACUAGAGUGUGGUAGAGGGUAGUGGAAUUCCCGGUGUAGCA